This 466-nucleotide ribosomal RNA is filed under the name uncultured bacterium. Its description in RNAcentral is "bacterial SSU rRNA". It matches the Rfam family "Bacterial small subunit ribosomal RNA", at positions 32 to 524 of the family's 1533-position model. The record is from RNAcentral.
AAUCAACGCUGGCGGCGUGCCUAACACAUGCAAGUCGCACGAGAAAGAGGGGGCAACCCCUUGAGUAAAGUGGCGUACGGGUGAGUAACACGUGACUAACCUACCUCCGAAUGGGGAAUAACACCGGGAAACCGGUGCUAAUACCGCAUAACAUCUACGGAUCAAAGCAGCAAUGCGUUUGGAGAGGGGGUCGCGGCUGAUUAGCUAGUUGGUAAGGUAAUGGCUUACCGAGGCGACGAUCAGUAUCCUGCCUGAGAGGGCGCACGGACACACUGGAACUGAAACACGGUCCAGACUCCUACGGGAGGCAGCAGUGGGGAAUUUUGCGCAAUGGGGGAAACCCUGACGCAGCAACGCCGCGUGGAGGAUGAAGGUCUUUGGAUUGUAAACUCCUUUCGAUCGGGACGAUUAUGACGGUACCGGAAGAAGAAGUACCGGCUAACUCUGUGCCAGCAGCCGCCGUAAG